UAGGGAAUCUUCGGCAAUGGACGAAAGUCUGACCGAGCAACGCCGCGUGAGUGAAGAAGGUUUUCGGAUCGUAAAACUCUGUUGUUAGAGAAGAACAAGGACGUUAGUAACUGAACGUCCCCUGACGGUAUCUAACCAGAAAGCCACGGCUAACUACGUGCCAGCAGCCGCGGUAAUACGUAGGUGGCAAGCGUUGUCCGGAUUUAUUGGGCGUAAAGCGAGCGCAGGCGGUUUCUUAAGUCUGAUGUGAAAGCCCCCGGCUCAACCGGGGAGGGUCAUUGGAAACUGGGAAGCUUGAGUGCAGAAGAGGAGAGUGGAAUUCCAUGUGUAGCGGUGAAAUGCGUAGAUAUAUGGAGGAACACCGGUGGCGAAGGCGGCUCUCUGGUCUGUAACUGACGCUGAGGCUCGAAAGCGUGGGGAGCAAACAGG
This 429-nucleotide ribosomal RNA is filed under the name Gemmatimonadota bacterium. Its description in RNAcentral is "Gemmatimonadetes bacterium partial 16S ribosomal RNA". It matches the Rfam family "Bacterial small subunit ribosomal RNA", at positions 355 to 776 of the family's 1533-position model. The record is from RNAcentral. Lineage: Bacteria; Pseudomonadati; Gemmatimonadota.